This 334-nucleotide long non-coding RNA is filed under the name Carica papaya (papaya). RNAcentral's name for it is "long non-coding RNA (CPAP_LNC007166)". The record is from RNAcentral. Lineage: Eukaryota; Viridiplantae; Streptophyta; Magnoliopsida; Brassicales; Caricaceae.
UUAUAACCACCGGUUCAAUCCGUCUCCUUCCCUACACCUCUGACUGAGCUAAACGCAUUGCCCUUUUCCUUGAAACUGAACUCUGUCCCUGCUGACCCGCGCAUCCAUAAAAAAUCCUUCAGCGAAGUGAGGUUCCUCUCAACAUUUCUGGUUCACUUCAACGAUGUAACUCCUCCUCCUUUCCUUUUCUCUUGAGGAGGCGAAGCUUUCUUUGCCCAAAUCGGCAUUCCCCCGAUGAGACAUCCUUCUCAGUCGAAGAAAACUCUCGAACCCGUCCAGAAGUUGAGGAUGAAGCUGGUGAUGAAUUCAGUGCUCAAAAAAGGGUUUAGCCAGA